RNAcentral lists this long non-coding RNA (1300 nucleotides) under Pan troglodytes (chimpanzee). Its description in RNAcentral is "long non-coding RNA NONPTRT018432". Lineage: Eukaryota; Metazoa; Chordata; Mammalia; Primates; Hominidae. The record is from RNAcentral.
CCUUGAUGUGAAUGAGGAAUGCGGAGGAGCCCAUGCAAAAGCAGAUUUACUGGAAAGGAGAACUGGAAAUUUCAAGGGAGCUGAAGACUAUAGGAUGUCAACUGUGGAUACAACUCACAAGCUACCAUAUUGAUGUGACAUGAUGAAGUGGGAAGGAAAGCCAUCUGGAGUUUCACUGGUGAAUUGAUACAUCUUGCACUUAACAUUGUGUAUCCCCUGGACUUUGAUCAAAUGGACAUGGGCUUUCUGAUCUACUGCAGAGUGCCUGGAAAUUCAGAGACACAACAAAGAGGAAGACUCCUUGAUUAGUGAUCAUCAUCAUCAUCAUCAUCAUCAUCAUCAUGGAAUCAAAGGAGAUCAUUUUGGAGCUUCAAGAUUUGACUGCCCUGGCCGGGUGCGGUGGCUCAUGCCUGUAAUCCCAGCACUUUGGGAGGCCGAGGCUGGUGGAUCACCUGAGGUCAGGAGUUUGAGACCAGCCUGACACAUGGAGAAACCCCAUCUCUACUAAAAAAAUUACAAAUUAGCCAGGCUUGGUGGUGCAUGCCUGUAAUCUCAGCUACUCAGGAGGCUGAGGCAGGAGAAUUGCUUGAACCCAGGAGGCAGAGGUUGCGGUGAGCUGAGAUUGCGCCAUUGCACUCCAGCCUGGGCAACAAGAGAAAAACUCCAUCUCAAAAAAAAAAAAAAAAAAAAAAAAAUGUGACUGCCCCACUGGGUUUCAGACUUGCAUGGGGCCUGUAGACCCUUUGUUUUGGCCAAUUUCUUCCAUUUGGAAUGGGAGCAUUUAUCCAAUGCCUAUACCCCCAUUGUGUCUAGGAAGUAACUAACUUGUUUUUGAUUUUACAGGCUCCUAGGAGAAAGGAACUUGCAUUAUCUCAGGUGAGACUUUGGACUUGGACUUUUGGAUUAAUGCUGGAGUGAUAUAAGACUUUGGGGGACUGUUGGGAAGGCCUGAUUGUGUUUUGAAAUGUGAGAACAUGAGAUUUGAGAGGGUCCAGGGGUGGAAUGAUAUGGUUUGGCUGUGACCCCACCCAAAUCUCAUCUUGAAUUGUAAUCCCGAUAAUCCCACCUGUUGAGAAGGGGCCUGGUAAAUGAUGAGAUCAUGGAGGCGUUUUCCCCCAUGCUGUUCUCAUGAUAGUGAGUUCUCAGGAGAUCUGAUGGUUUUAUAAAUGGCAGUUUCCCCUAAGCUUUUCUCUCUCUUCUGCUGCCUUGUGAAGAGGUACUUGCUUCUCCUUCACCUUCUAUCAUGAUUGUAAGUUUCCUGAGGCCUCCCCAGCCAUGUGGAACUGUGAGUCAAUUAAAC